RNAcentral lists this ribosomal RNA (444 nucleotides) under uncultured bacterium. RNAcentral describes it as "SSU rRNA". It matches the Rfam family "Bacterial small subunit ribosomal RNA", at positions 26 to 518 of the family's 1533-position model. The record is from RNAcentral.
AGAGCGAACGCUGGCGGCAGGCCUAACACAUGCAAGUCGAGCGCCCGUAGCAAUACGGGAGCGGCAGACGGGAUAGUAACACGUGGGAACGCGCCCUUCGGUUCGGAAUAACUCAGGGAAACUUGAGCUAAUACCGAAUACGCCCUUACGGGGAAAGAUUUAUUGCCGAAGGAACGGCCCGCGUCCGAUUAGCUAGUUGGUGAGGUAAUGGCUCACCAAGGCUACGAUCGGUAGCUGGUCUGAGAGGAUGACCAGCAUCACUGGGACUGAGACACGGCCCAGACUCCUACGGGAGGCAGCAGUGGGGAAUAUGGACAAUGGGCGCAAGCCUGAUCCAGCCAUGCCGCGUGGAUGAUGAAGGCCUUAGGGUUGUAAAGUCCUUUUAACGGGAAGAUAAUGACGGUACCGUAGAAUAAGCCCGGCUAACUUCGUGCCAGCAGCCGC